Molecule: ribosomal RNA, 252 nt
Filed under: uncultured bacterium
Lineage: Bacteria
Description: partial 16S ribosomal RNA
Rfam family: Bacterial small subunit ribosomal RNA
Source: RNAcentral
UACAGAGGUCCCAAGCGUUGUUCGGAUUCAUUGGGCGUAAAGGGUGCGUAGGCGGCGCGGUAAGUCGGGUGUGAAAUCUCGGAGCUUAACUCCGAAACUGCAUUCGAUACUGCCGUGCUUGAGGACUGGAGAGGAGACUGGAAUUUACGGUGUAGCGGUGAAAUGCGUAGAUAUCGUAAGGAAGACCAGUGGCGAAGGCGGGUCUCUGGACAGUUCCUGACGUGAGGCACGAAGGUCAGGGGAGCAAACGGG